GACGAACGCUGGCGGCGUGCUUAACACAUGCAAGUCGAGCGGUAAGGCCCUUUCGGGGGUACGACGAGCGGCGAACGGGUGAGUAACACGUGGGUGACCUGCCCUCAGCUCUGGGAUAAGCCUGGGAAACCGGGUCUAAUACUGGAUAUGACUCCAUGACGCAUGUUGUGGGGUGGAAAGCCUUGUGCGGCUGAGGAUGGGCCCGCGGCCUAUCAGCUUGUUGGUGGGGUGANGGCCUACCAAGGCGACGACGGGUAGCCGGCCUGAGAGGGCGACCGGCCACACUGGGACUGAGACACGGCCCAGACUCCUACGGGAGGCAGCAGUGGGGAAGUCUUGCGCAAUGGGCGAAAGCCUGACGCAGCGACGCCGCGUGAGGGAUGA
This 384-nucleotide ribosomal RNA is filed under the name uncultured bacterium. Its description in RNAcentral is "bacterial SSU rRNA". It matches the Rfam family "Bacterial small subunit ribosomal RNA", at positions 28 to 411 of the family's 1533-position model. The record is from RNAcentral.